GCGGCCUAUCAGCUUGUUGGUGAGGUAAUGGCUCACCAAGGCGACGACGGGUAGCCGGCCUGAGAGGGUGACCGGCCACACUGGGACUGAGACACGGCCCAGACUCCUACGGGAGGCAGCAGUGGGGAAUAUUGCACAAUGGGCGCAAGCCUGAUGCAGCAACGCCGCGUGGGGGACGAAGGCCUUCGGGUUGUAAACCCCUUUUAGCAGGGAAGAAGCGUAAGUGACGGUACCUGCAGAAAAAGCACCGGCUAACUACGUGCCAGCAGCCGCGGUAAUACGUAGGGUGCAAGCGUUGUCCGGAAUUAUUGGGCGUAAAGAGCUCGUAGGCGGUGUGUCGCGUCUGCUGUGAAAAUCCAAGGCUCAACCUUGGACCUGCAGUGGGUACGGGCACACUAGAGUGCGGUAGGGGAGAUUGGAAUUCCUGGUGUAGCGGUGGAAUGCGCAGAUAUCAGGAGGAACACCAAUGGCGAAGGCAGAUCUCUGGGCCGUAACUGACGCUGAGGAGCGAAAGCGUGGGGAGCGAACAGGAUUAGAUACCCUGGUAGUCCACGCCGUAAACGGUGGGAACUAGAUGUGGGGUCCGUUCCACGGAUUCCGUGUCGCAGCUAACGCAUUAAGUUCCCCGCCUGGGGAGUACGG
This 642-nucleotide ribosomal RNA is filed under the name uncultured actinomycete. RNAcentral's name for it is "bacterial SSU rRNA". It matches the Rfam family "Bacterial small subunit ribosomal RNA", at positions 233 to 885 of the family's 1533-position model. Lineage: Bacteria; Bacillati; Actinomycetota; Actinomycetes; Actinomycetales. The record is from RNAcentral.